CCCCUAGAUGUUCUGGGCCGCACGCGCGCUACACUGACGAAUGCAACGAGCUUAUAACCUUGGCCGAAAGGUCUGGGUAAUCUCCAAAUUUCGUCGUGAUGGGGAUAGAUUAUUGCAAUUAUUAAUCUUCAACGAGGAAUGCCUAGUAAGCGCAAGUCAUCAGCUUGCGUUGAUUACGUCCCUGCCCUUUGUACACACCGCCCGUCGCUCCUACCGAUUGAAUGGUCCGGUGAAGCGCUCGGACCGCGGCCUCUUGACGGUUCGCUGUCGAUUGGCUGUGGGAAGUUCGUUAAACCUUAUCAUUUAGAGGAAGGAGAAGUCGUAACA
This 327-nucleotide ribosomal RNA is filed under the name uncultured eukaryote. RNAcentral describes it as "partial 18S ribosomal RNA". It matches the Rfam family "Eukaryotic small subunit ribosomal RNA", at positions 1470 to 1796 of the family's 1831-position model. The record is from RNAcentral.